This 407-nucleotide ribosomal RNA is filed under the name uncultured bacterium. RNAcentral describes it as "partial 16S ribosomal RNA". It matches the Rfam family "Bacterial small subunit ribosomal RNA", at positions 28 to 526 of the family's 1533-position model. The record is from RNAcentral.
GACGAACGCUGGCGGCGUGCCUAAUACAUGCAAGUAGAACGCACUUGCGAACGGGUGAGUAACGCGUAGGUAACUUCCUCAUCGCGGGGGAUAACUAUUGGAAACGCUAGCUAAUCCCGCAUACUGUGAGCUGGACCUGCGUUGUAUUAGCUAGUUGGUGAGGUAAAGGCUCACCAAGGAGACGAUACAUAGCCGACCUGAGAGGAUGAUCGGCCACACUGGAACUGAGACGAGGCCCAGACUCCUACGGGAGGAAGCAGUAAGGAAUCUUAGGAAAUGGACGGAAGUCUGACCGAGCAACGCCGCGUGAGUGAAGAAGGGUGUCGGAUCGUAAAGCUCUGUUGUUAGAAAAGCGGUGACUAACCAGAAAGGAACGGCUAACUACGUGCCAGCAGCCGCGGUAAUAC